ACUAUUUUGGCAGAAAAAUGUAAUGGUUUUAGAAGUCAUAUAUAUAUAUAUUAGAUAUAUAGAUAGUA
RNAcentral lists this transfer RNA (68 nucleotides) under Kallima inachus (orange oakleaf). RNAcentral describes it as "tRNA-Leu". The record is from RNAcentral. Lineage: Eukaryota; Metazoa; Arthropoda; Insecta; Lepidoptera; Nymphalidae.